This 148-nucleotide non-coding RNA is filed under the name Gorilla gorilla gorilla (western lowland gorilla). Lineage: Eukaryota; Metazoa; Chordata; Mammalia; Primates; Hominidae. The record is from Rfam by way of RNAcentral.
GCUGGGUGUGGUGGUGGGCGCCUGUAAUCCCAGCUACUUGGGAGGCUGAGGUAGGAGAAUCGCUUGAACCUGGGAGGCGGAGGUUGCAGUGAGCUAAGAUCAGGCCACUGCACUCCAACCUGGGUGAUAGAGCGAGACUCUGUCUCAA